GCCAUUACUGACGCUGAUGCACGAAAGCGUGGGGAGCGAACAGGAUUAGAUACCCUGGUAGUCCACGCCGUAAACGAUGAUCACUCGCUGUUAGCGAUACACAGUUAGCGGCUAAGCAAAAGCAUUAAGUGAUCCACCUGGGGAGUACGGCCGCAAGGCUGAAACUCAAAGGAAUUGACGGGGGCCCGCACAAGCGGAGGAACAUGUGGUUUAAUUCGAUGAUACGCGAGGAACCUUACCUGGGCUUAAAUGUAGAGUGCAUGAAGUGGAAACAUUUCUUUCCUUCGGGACUCUUUGCAAGGUGCUGCAUGGUUGUCGUCAGCUCGUGCCGUGAGGUGUCGGGUUAAGUCCCAUAACGAGCGCAACCCUUAUCGUUAGUUGCCAGCGGGUAAUGCCGGGAACUCUAACGAAACUGCCGGUGUAAACCGUGAGGAAGGUGGGGAUGACGUCAAAUCAGCACGGCCCUUAUGUCCAGGGCUACACACGUGUUACAAUGGCCGGUACAGAGGGCAGCUACCUGGAGACAGGAUGCGAAUCUCCAAAGCCGGUCUCAGUUCGGAUCGGAGUCUGCAACUCGACUCCGUGAAGCUGGAUUCGCUAGUAAUCGCGCAUCAGCCAUGGCGCGGUGAAUACGUUCCCGGGCCUUGUACACACCGCCCGUCAAGCCAUGGAAGUUGGGGGUACCUGAAGUCCGUAACCGUAAGGAGCGGCCUAAGGUAAAACUAGUGACUGGGGCUAAGUCGUAACAAGGUAGCCGAAUCGA
This 763-nucleotide ribosomal RNA is filed under the name uncultured bacterium. Its description in RNAcentral is "bacterial SSU rRNA". It matches the Rfam family "Bacterial small subunit ribosomal RNA", at positions 733 to 1508 of the family's 1533-position model. The record is from RNAcentral.